GAUGAACGCUGGCGGCGUGCCUAAUACAUGCAAGUCGAGCGAACAGACGAGGAGCUUGCUCCUCUGACGUUAGCGGCGGACGGGUGAGUAACACGUGGAUAACCUACCUAUAAGACUGGGAUAACUUCGGGAAACCGGAGCUAAUACCGGAUAAUAUUUUGAACCGCAUGGUUCAAUAGUGAAAGACGGUCUUGCUGUCACUUAUAGAUGGAUCCGCGCUGCAUUAGCUAGUUGGUAAGGUAACGGCUUACCAAGGCGACGAUGCGUAGCCGACCUGAGAGGGUGAUCGGCCACACUGGAACUGAGACACGGUCCAGACUCCUACGGGAGGCAGCAGUAGGGAAUCUUCCGCAAUGGGCGAAAGCCUGACGGAGCAACGCCGCGUGAGUGAUGAAGGUCUUCGGAUCGUAAAACUCUGUUAUUAGGGAAGAACAAAUGUGUAAGUAACUAUGCACGUCUUGACGGUACCUAAUCAGAAAGCCACGGCUAACUACGUG
This 497-nucleotide ribosomal RNA is filed under the name uncultured bacterium. Its description in RNAcentral is "partial 16S ribosomal RNA". It matches the Rfam family "Bacterial small subunit ribosomal RNA", at positions 28 to 507 of the family's 1533-position model. The record is from RNAcentral.